GACGAACGCUGGCGGCGUGCUUAACACGUGCAAGUCGAACGGAAAGGCCCUGCUUUUGUGGGGUGCUCGAGUGGCGAACGGGUGAGUAACACGUGAGUAACCUGCCCUUGACUUUGGGAUAACUUCAGGAAACUGGGGCUAAUACCGGAUAGGAGCUCCUGCUGCAUGGUGGGGGUUGGAAAGUUUCGGCGGUUGGGGAU
Molecule: ribosomal RNA, 200 nt
Filed under: uncultured bacterium
Lineage: Bacteria
Description: partial 16S ribosomal RNA
Rfam family: Bacterial small subunit ribosomal RNA
Source: RNAcentral